This 216-nucleotide long non-coding RNA is filed under the name Elaeis guineensis (African oil palm). RNAcentral describes it as "long non-coding RNA (EGUI_LNC078664)". The record is from RNAcentral. Lineage: Eukaryota; Viridiplantae; Streptophyta; Magnoliopsida; Arecales; Arecaceae.
GAUGUACCUCAGGUCAAAGAACUAGACACACAGCUGUAGCAUCGAGCUAGUCAUCGACGAGAAGGUAGACUUUUUUAUGACUACUCGAGGUGGUCACGCUCAGUACUCUCAUUCUCAAUGAACACCAAGAAAGUGAUCACGCUCGAGGUGGUCACGCUCAGUACUUUCACUCCAAUGUCUCCACACCGUAGACUCAAGAUACAUCUACCCUAAGAA